This 26-nucleotide non-coding RNA is filed under the name Mus musculus (house mouse). Lineage: Eukaryota; Metazoa; Chordata; Mammalia; Rodentia; Muridae. The record is from RNAcentral.
CACAGAUGCUAGUCUUGAAGGUAGAG